RNAcentral lists this ribosomal RNA (619 nucleotides) under uncultured archaeon. RNAcentral describes it as "bacterial SSU rRNA". It matches the Rfam family "Archaeal small subunit ribosomal RNA", at positions 52 to 670 of the family's 1478-position model. The record is from RNAcentral.
UGCGAGUCAUAUGUUCUUCGUGAACAUGGCGUACUGCUCAGUAACACGUGGAUAACCUGCCCUUGGGACCGGGAUAACCCCGGGAAACUGGGGAUAAUACCGGAUAACGCAUAUCUGCUGGAAUGCUUUAUGCGUAAAAUGGAUUUGUCUGCCCAAGGAUGGGUCUGCGGCCUAUCAGGUAGUAGUGGGUGUAAUGUACCUACUAGCCUACGACGGGUACGGGUUGUGAGAGCAAGAGCCCGGAGAUGGAUUCUGAGACAUGAAUCCAGGCCCUACGGGGCGCAGCAGGCGCGAAAACUUUACAAUGCGGGAAACCGUGAUAAGGGGACACCGAGUGCCAGCAUCAUAUGUUGGCUGUCCAGAUGUGUAAAAUACAUCUGUUAGCUAGGGCCGGGCAAGACCGGUGCCAGCCGCCGCGGUAACACCGGCGGCCCGAGUGGUGAUCGUGAUUAUUGGGUCUAAAGGGUCCGUAGCCGGUUUGGUCAGUCCUCCGGGAAAUCUGACGGCUCAACCGUUAGGCUUUCGGUGGAUACUGCCAGACUUGGAACCGGGAGAGGUAAGAGGUACUACAGGGGUAGGAGUGAAAUCCUGUAAUCCCUGUGAGACCACCUGUGGCGAA